GAUGAACGCUGGCGGCGUGCCUAAUACAUGCAAGUCGAGCGAACGGACGAGAAGCUUGCUUCUCUGAUGUUAGCGGCGGACGGGUGAGUAACACGUGGAUAACCUACCUAUAAGACUGGGAUAACUUCGGGAAACCGGAGCUAAUACCGGAUAAUAUUUUGAACCGCAUGGUUCAAAAGUGAAAGACGGUCUUGCUGUCACUUAUAGAUGGAUCCGCGCUGCAUUAGCUAGUUGGUAAGGUAACGGCUUACCAAGGCAACGAUGCAUAGCCGACCUGAGAGGGUGAUCGGCCACACUGGAACUGAGACACAGUCCAGACUCCUACGGGAGGCAGCAGUAGGGAAUCUUCCGCAAUGGGCGAAAGCCUGACGGAGCAACGCCGCGUGAGUGAUGAAGGUCUUCGGAUCGUAAAACUCUGUUAUUAGGGAAGAACAUAUGUGUAAGUAACUGUGCACAUCUUGACGGUACCUAAUCAGAAAGCCACGGCUAACUACGUGCCAGCAGCCGCGGUAAUACGUAGGUGGCAAGCGUUAUCCGGAAUUAUUGGGCGUAAAGCGCGCGUAGGCGGUUUUUUAAGUCUGAUGUGAAAGCCCACGGCUCAACCGUGGAGGGUCAUUGGAAACUGGAAAACUUGAGUGCAGAAGAGGAAAGUGGGAUUCCAUGUGUAGCGGUGAAAUGCGCAGAGAUAUGGAGGAACACCAGUGGCGAAGGCGACUUUCUGGUCUGUAACUGACGCUGAUGUGCGAAAGCGUGGGGAUCAAACAGGAUUAGAUACCCUGGUAGUCCACGCCGUAAACGAUGAGUGCUAAGUGUUAGGGGGUUUCCGCCCCUUAGUGCUGCAGCUAACGCAUUAAGCACUCCGCCUGGGGAGUACGACCGCAAGGUUGAAACUCAAAGGAAUUGACGGGGACCCGCACAAGCGGUGGAGCAUGUGGUUUAAUUCGAAGCAACGCGAAGAACCUUACCAAAUCUUGACAUCCUUUGACAACUCUAGAGAUAGAGCUUUCCCCUUCGGGGGACAAAGUGACAGGUGGUGCAUGGUUGUCGUCAGCUCGUGUCGUGAGAUGUUGGGUUAAGUCCCGCAACGAGCGCAACCCUUAAGCUUAGUUGCCAUCAUUAAGUUGGGCACUCUAAGUUGACUGCCGGUGACAAACCGGAGGAAGGUGGGGAUGACGUCAAAUCAUCAUGCCCCUUAUGAUUUGGGCUACACACGUGCUACAAUGGACAAUACAAAGGGCAGCGAAACCGCGAGGUCAAGCAAAUCCCAUAAAGUUGUUCUCAGUUCGGAUUGUAGUCUGCAACUCGACUACAUGAAGCUGGAAUCGCUAGUAAUCGUAGAUCAGCAUGCUACGGUGAAUACGUUCCCGGGUCU
RNAcentral lists this ribosomal RNA (1372 nucleotides) under uncultured bacterium. RNAcentral describes it as "bacterial SSU rRNA". It matches the Rfam family "Bacterial small subunit ribosomal RNA", at positions 28 to 1381 of the family's 1533-position model. The record is from RNAcentral.